RNAcentral lists this ribosomal RNA (290 nucleotides) under uncultured bacterium. Its description in RNAcentral is "partial 16S ribosomal RNA". It matches the Rfam family "Bacterial small subunit ribosomal RNA", at positions 392 to 697 of the family's 1533-position model. The record is from RNAcentral.
CAACGCCGCGUGAGGGAUGAAGGCCUCUGGGCUGUAAACCUCUUUUAUCAAGGAAGAAGAACUGACGGUACUUGAUGAAUAAGCCACGGCUAAUUCCGUGCCAGCAGCCGCGGUAAUACGGGAGUGGCAAGCGUUAUCCGGAAUUAUUGGGCGUAAAGCGUCCGCAGGCGGUUUUACAAGUCUGUCGUUAAAGCGUGGAGCUCAACUCCAUUUCAGCGAUGGAAACUGUAAGACUCGAGUGUGGUAGGGGCAGAGGGAAUUCCCGGUGUAGCGGUGAAAUGCGUAGAUAU